RNAcentral lists this ribosomal RNA (253 nucleotides) under uncultured bacterium. RNAcentral describes it as "partial 16S ribosomal RNA". It matches the Rfam family "Bacterial small subunit ribosomal RNA", at positions 524 to 776 of the family's 1533-position model. The record is from RNAcentral.
UACAGAGGGGGCAAGCGUUGUUCGGAUUCAUUGGGCGUAAAGGGUGCGUAGGCGGCGCGGUAAGUCGGGUGUGAAAUCUCGGAGCUUAACUCCGAAACUGCAUUCGAUACUGCCGUGCUUGAGGACUGGAGAGGAGACUGGAAUUUACGGUGUAGCGGUGAAAUGCGUAGAUAUCGGGAGGAAUACCAGUGGCGAAGGCGGCCUUCUGGACGGAUACUGACGCUGAGGCGCGAAAGCCAGGGGAGCAAACGGG